This 252-nucleotide ribosomal RNA is filed under the name uncultured bacterium. Its description in RNAcentral is "partial 16S ribosomal RNA". It matches the Rfam family "Bacterial small subunit ribosomal RNA", at positions 524 to 776 of the family's 1533-position model. The record is from RNAcentral.
UACGGAGGAUGCGAGCGUUAUCCGGAUUUAUUGGGUUUAAAGGGUGCGUAGGCGGACUGUCAAGUCAGCGGUAAAGUUGAGAGGCUCAACCUCUUCCCGCCGUUGAAACUGGUGGUCUUGAGUGGAUGAGAAGUACGCGGAAUGCGUGGUGUAGCGGUGAAAUGCAUAGAUAUCACGCAGAACUCCGAUUGCGAAGGCAGCGUACCGGCAUCCAACUGACGCUGAGGCACGAGAGCGUGGGGAUCAAACAGG